Long non-coding RNA from Dreissena polymorpha, 685 nucleotides. RefSeq lists it as uncharacterized. NCBI's taxonomy places the organism in Eukaryota, Metazoa, Mollusca, Bivalvia, Myida, Dreissenidae. The transcript has 3 exons. The record is from RefSeq and is a predicted model, not a curated record.
AUAGAUCAUCAUACGUGGCAGUAAUACGUGGCAGUAUAAUAUGCUGGAAUAUAAAGUUAAUGGAUUGUUAAUGGCUAUGGCAUGUACACUGCUUCUGUUAGCGUUUGUAGCUGGAGCAUCAUCACUGGAGAUGUAUCUGAAGACGCAACACAUCAGCGAUGGCAUUGAUGUUCAUAUCACAUGUAUAGCAAUCCUCCAUCAUGAAUUAAAGUUAACCACAAGUAAGGAGACUGUUAUGAUAGGGAGAUGUUCGGAUGAGUGUUAUUUGUAUAAAGAAUCUCUUAAAAGUAGAUUCAGUAUUGUGAAAAGCGAACAAGGCACGGAAUUGACAAUAUGGAAUAUCACGGAAACCAGUUACGGAACGUAUUCAUGCUUUGAAACAUUUGAUUUAUCACAAUAUAAAAGCGUUCUCGUAACAAGAAACACCAAAGGCAGUACCGGGACAGCGUUUUCAUACUACAACACUGCUUGGUUGCAACUGAUUAUUUUUCUGUGCAUCAAUUUAUUGGACGUUAUAUUAGUUGUUGCUUAGCUCCAACGUCAUUGUUAAUAUCAGAUACAAUUUGGAGACAGCUAUUGUUAAAAAAUAUUGACAUUAUUUUUAAAUCAUGCGUUUUACUUUCAUCUCGUUUUCAUAUUUAUGCCCCCGAAGGAGGGCAUAUAGUGAUCGCACUGUCCGUCCGUU